RNAcentral lists this ribosomal RNA (484 nucleotides) under uncultured bacterium. RNAcentral describes it as "partial 16S ribosomal RNA". It matches the Rfam family "Bacterial small subunit ribosomal RNA", at positions 30 to 507 of the family's 1533-position model. The record is from RNAcentral.
AUUGAACGCUGGCGGCAGGCCUAACACAUGCAAGUCGAGCGGAUGAAGGGAGCUUGCUCCUGGAUUCAGCGGCGGACGGGUGAGUAAUGCCUAGGAAUCUGCCUGGUAGUGGGGGAUAACGUCCGGAAACGGGCGCUAAUACCGCAUACGUCCUGAGGGAGAAAGUGGGGGAUCUUCGGACCUCACGCUAUCAGAUGAGCCUAGGUCGGAUUAGCUAGUUGGUGGGGUAAAGGCCUACCAAGGCGACGAUCCGUAACUGGUCUGAGAGGAUGAUCAGUCACACUGGAACUGAGACACGGUCAAGACUACUACGGGAGGCAGAAGUGGGGAAUAUUGGACAAUGGGCGAAAGCCUGAUCCAGCCAUGCCGCGUGUGUGAAGAAGGUCUUCGGAUUGUAAAGCACUUUAAGUUGGGAGGAAGGGCAGUAAGUUAAUACCUUGCUGUUUUGACGUUACCAACAGAAUAAGCACCGGCUAACUUCGUG